This 194-nucleotide ribosomal RNA is filed under the name uncultured beta proteobacterium. RNAcentral's name for it is "partial 16S ribosomal RNA". It matches the Rfam family "Bacterial small subunit ribosomal RNA", at positions 338 to 524 of the family's 1533-position model. The record is from RNAcentral. Lineage: Bacteria; Pseudomonadati; Pseudomonadota; Betaproteobacteria.
CCUACGGGAGGCAGCAGUGGGGAAUUUUGGACAAUGGGGGCAACCCUGAUCCAGCCAUGCCGCGUGCGGGAAGAAGGCCUUCGGGUUGUAAACCGCUUUUGUCAGGGAAGAAACGCUCUGAGUUAAUACCUCGGGGUAAUGACGGUACCUGAAGAAUAAGCACCGGCUAACUACGUGCCAGCAGCCGCGGUAAU